GCCAUCUUCAUUGUCAACAAUGCUUGAACAUUCGAUUUCACUAAAAUUAAAUAACUCCUGCUCUUCAACUAGUGGAAAAAGGUAGAAAUACCGCCUCCAUUUAGCUGAGAAAUUUGGGUGGAACGAACGUGAUACCUCAGAAAUGGACAAAGCUCUAAGCAUCCCAGGUGCCGCUUCGUCAAUGGCAGUCUUUAGUUCUCCACUCUUAAUAUCCUUCCUCCAAGUAUAAAAUGAACAAACUUGCUGAAGUGCAGUCACUCCUUUGUCAGUACGCCCGGCCACAAAAGCACAA
This 292-nucleotide unclassified non-coding RNA is filed under the name Hevea brasiliensis (rubber tree). Lineage: Eukaryota; Viridiplantae; Streptophyta; Magnoliopsida; Malpighiales; Euphorbiaceae. The record is from RNAcentral.